Non-coding RNA from Cyprinus carpio (common carp), 943 nucleotides. The record is from the annotation of a RefSeq genome assembly. Lineage: Eukaryota; Metazoa; Chordata; Actinopteri; Cypriniformes; Cyprinidae.
AUGGCAGUGAAUGGUGCUCAAGAUUUUGAAGCAAAAUGGUGCAUCUAUCCAUCAUAAAAAGUUCUUCACACAAUGAGUCAAUGAAUCAUUCACUCAAAUGAUUCACGCUGUUUGUUUUGAACUAUGUCAGCUUACCGAGCAAAAACAAAGUAGCUACUGAUACAAUAUUGAGUCUAAAAAGUAAAAAUACUCAGUUUAAACUUUUUGUCAACUAAACUAAUGUAUAAAAGCAAUAUCACAUUCACAUUCAUGCUGUUGAUCUGAUAUUCAGAAGAAACAGCACUCUUGCAAAUUUGAUUUUGCUUUAUAUCAAUAAAGGAUAAUAUUAACGUGAACUCAUUAAAUAUUUUCUUAAGUCUCAGUGAAACAGCACAAUAAACCAACUUAAACUUGUUAAAAUUCUCCUGAAGCGUUUGCAUAGAGAGUGUGUUUUACAUGAGCGACACACACUUCAGUGCUCUGCAUGUGUUUAUAACUCUGACAAACAUCAAACAUGAUCAACAACUGUUUCUCACUAGAACUGAACCUACAACCAACAGAAAUGACUUUCAUCACCAUAUUGAUCUGGACGCUGACAGUAUUAUGUAGAGAAUCUAUUGGGCAGGUGACAGUGACUCAAACUCCCUCAGUGCUGCUCGCUCAGACUGGACAAUCAGUCACUGUAACCUGUACAUUUAACAGAGAUCCAGACUGCUGUUAUAAUGGAAAACAUUUUCUUAGCUGGUACUUACAGAAACCUGGAGAAGCUCCUAAACUCCUGAUUUAUGGAACAAGCAGCCAUCAGUCAGGAACUCCAUCUAGAUUCAGUGGCAGUGGAUCUAACAGUGAUUUCACUCUGACCAUCAGUGGAGUCCAGACUGAAGAUGCUGGACAUUAUUACUGUCAGGGUAUACACUGGAUCAACAGUCAAGCUGUGUUCACACAGUGAUAAAGAGUGGUACAA